UACGGAGGGGGCAAGCGUUGUUCGGAUUUACUGGGUGUAAAGGGUUCGUAGGCGGCAUUGUAAGUGGGAUGUGAAAUCUCUGAGCUUAACUCAGAAACUGCAUUCCAUACUGCUAAGCUAGAGUACCGCAGAGGUGAAUGGAAUUCUCGGUGUAAGGGUGAAAUCUGCAGAUAUCGAGAAGAACGCCAGUGGUGAAGACGAUUCACUGGGCGGAUACUGACGCUGAGGAACGAAAGCUAGGGGAGCGAACGGGAUUAGAUACCCCGGUAGUCCUAGCCGUAAACGAUGGACACUAGGUGUUGGAAGGGUCAAACCUUUCAGUGCCGCAGCUAACGCAUUAAGUGUCCCACCUGGGGAGUACGGUCGCAAGACUGAA
RNAcentral lists this ribosomal RNA (376 nucleotides) under uncultured bacterium. RNAcentral's name for it is "bacterial SSU rRNA". It matches the Rfam family "Bacterial small subunit ribosomal RNA", at positions 524 to 898 of the family's 1533-position model. The record is from RNAcentral.